Molecule: transfer RNA, 77 nt
Filed under: Ruminococcus sp. AM27-16
Lineage: Bacteria; Bacillati; Bacillota; Clostridia; Eubacteriales; Oscillospiraceae
Description: tRNA-Met
Rfam family: tRNA
About the family: Transfer RNA (tRNA) molecules are approximately 80 nucleotides in length.
Source: RNAcentral
GGCGAGAUAGCUAAGUUGGCUAGAGCACACGGUUCAUACCCGUGGUGUCGAGGGUUCGAAUCCCCCUCUCGCUACUA